Non-coding RNA from Multifurca ochricompacta, 75 nucleotides. Lineage: Eukaryota; Fungi; Basidiomycota; Agaricomycetes; Russulales; Russulaceae. The record is from the annotation of a GenBank genome assembly.
GGCUGUGUAGCUAAGUGGUUAGAGCACCAGUCCUAGAAUGUACGGGGGUCUUGGGUUCAAUGCCCAACAUGGCCA